Molecule: long non-coding RNA, 407 nt
Organism: Mytilus californianus (California mussel)
Lineage: Eukaryota; Metazoa; Mollusca; Bivalvia; Mytilida; Mytilidae
Exons: 2
Source: RefSeq, a predicted model, not a curated record
AGCAGUGGUUAUAACUGCUUCUUGUGCUGUUGUGGUGGUCAUUGUCAUUACCGUCUUAAUUAUUAGAAUGCGCAAAAAUUCAUCACGGCCGGGAAUUUCCUCGAGGAUUGUUUCUAGCAAUCAGGUCGUCUAUGCCAUGGUCAAUAAACCUACAACAACUUCGAAUAAGCAAGAAUUAACAGGAAAGCAAACAGCUGGAAAAACUGAAAAUGAUGAUACAUACGACCAUAUGGAACACCAUCGCUCCAGUCAAGACCAGAACAACGAGUGUAAUUAUGAUACAAUGCAGGGUGUGGGAACUGCAGAAAUUGAAAAUGACUAUGAUGUGACAAAUGGAAAGGAGAGAGAUGGACAAUUCAUGAUUGACGACUCAGCAGAAUAUAGCCACUUGGAAGUAGAAAAUCAAG